RNAcentral lists this ribosomal RNA (425 nucleotides) under uncultured bacterium. RNAcentral describes it as "bacterial SSU rRNA". It matches the Rfam family "Bacterial small subunit ribosomal RNA", at positions 354 to 796 of the family's 1533-position model. The record is from RNAcentral.
GUGGGGAAUAUUGGACAAUGGGGGCAACCCUGAUCCAGCGAUGCCGCGUGAGUGAUGAAGGCCUUCGGGUUGUAAAGCUCUUUUGCACGCGACGAUGAUGACGGUAGCGUGAGAAUAAGCCCCGGCUAACUCUGUGCCAGCAGCCGCGGUAAUACAGAGGGGGCUAGCGUUGUUCGGAAUGACUGGGCGUAAAGGGCGCGUAGGUGGUAUGACAAGUCAGGUGUGAAAGACCCAGGCUUAACCUGGGAACGGCAUUUGAGACUGUCAUGCUUGAGUCUGGGAGAGGAUAGCGGAAUUCCUAGUGUAGAGGUGAAAUUCGUAGAUAUUAGGAAGAACACCGGUGGCGAAGGCGGCUAUCUGGAACAGAACUGACACUGAGGCGCGAAAGCGUGGGGAGCAAACAGGAUUAGAUACCCCUGUAGUCC